RNAcentral lists this ribosomal RNA (429 nucleotides) under uncultured bacterium. RNAcentral describes it as "bacterial SSU rRNA". It matches the Rfam family "Bacterial small subunit ribosomal RNA", at positions 355 to 776 of the family's 1533-position model. The record is from RNAcentral.
UGGGGAAUUUUGGACAAUGGGGGAAACCCUGAUCCAGCAAUACCGCGUGAGUGAAGAAGGCCUUCGGGUUGUAAAGCUCUUUCGGCCGGGACGAAAUCGCUCUGGUGAAUAUCCAGGGUGGAUGACGGUACCGGAAUAAGAAGCACCGGCUAACUACGUGCCAGCAGCCGCGGUAAUACGUAGGGUGCGAGCGUUAAUCGGAAUUACUGGGCGUAAAGCGUGCGCAGGCGGUUUUGUAAGUCAGACGUGAAAGCCCCGGGCUUAACCUGGGAAUUGCGUUUGAAACUGCAAGGCUAGAGUACGGCAGAGGGGGGUAGAAUUCCACGUGUAGCAGUGAAAUGCGUAGAUAUGUGGAGGAAUACCGAUGGCGAAGGCAGCCCCCUGGGCUAGUACUGACGCUCAUGCACGAAAGCGUGGGGAGCAAACAGG